GUUUGUAGAGUUACUCCUAGAAAAUGAACUAAGAGGGUGGAGCCGGGUUUUUACUGUUCCAUAGCCCCACUCCACCCAAAAAACCCACUGCUCUUUAAUUAUUAGCAAAUUUUUCUACCGGACAUCACAAUUUUGUGGUUUUAACCGUAGGACACCACACAAAAUCAUUUUUGGGAAACACACUCUGAAAAUAUGGUUAUUUGCUAGGGGACACUCUAUCCAUUAAAUUAAUGUUUUCGUGUUGACUAGACGAGAGUGGGCUCACAUUUUUACGUGUCUUGACCAAAUUACCCAUUCUUUCUUUCUCUUCCUUAUCUGAAAUCUCUCCCUCUCUCUUUUUUAUCUCUUCUCCCGGCGGAUGGCGUGGUUGGCAGCGUCGACAUCGACGUCAGCACCCGGAGCGCGUGUGGCCUAUUCAGCGGCGGCGGUGGCGGCAGCCUGCUCGGCGGUGGUGGCCUGUUCAGCGGCGGCAGCACGCACGGCGGUGGCCUGCUCACUGGCGGUAGUCUGCUCGACAGCAGCAGCAGCCUGCUCGGUGGCAGUGCCCGGAGCGCGCGCGGCCUGCUCGGCGGCGGUGGCGGAGCCCGAAGCACAUGCGGCCUGUUCCGUGGACGGUGGCGCGCGCGGCCUGCUCGGCAGCGGCGGUGGCCACGGACCACGCCAGUGCGUGGAUCUCUGCCACCAGUCCACCACGGCUCGCUCGGUGUGGACAACGGCGACAAUGACGACUUCAAGUGCCCACUGUACAGGGAAGUGACGGAGGGAGGUGUCGGACGUAUGUGCCUGCCACAGUACGGUUCGGCAACGGCCUCGCCAUUGCGAGAGCGGCAGCGGCACCGGCGGAUGACCACGACACAUCAUGGGCACGUGGUGCUCAUCGUGGUGAUGUUGCUGCUGUUGGUUUGGUGGUGUUGCUCUCCAUGGUUAUGCUGCUACUAGCUGCUGGUUGGUGAUGGGGAAGAAGAAGACGCACUCCAGGCAGUAGAUGUCCAACCACUCCUCAUUCGCCGAUAGACAGAGAAGAGAGAUGGGAGAACUAACAUUGUCCGCUGGCGACUUACCACGUAUAUGGAGUGUCUUUCCCCAAAAGUCAUUUCGUGUGGUGUUCUACAACUAAAACAGUAAAGUCACGAUGUAGUGUAGCAAAAUUUUCUUUAAUUAUUUGACGUAUUUACGCGAAAAUGCCACUGACCUACCCCAACCUCCUCACCUCCCUACCCGACGACCGGGCGAGCAGAAGGCCACGGCAUUCCGGCGGCGGCUCGGCGAUGCGCGUGCGGGCAGCAGGGUGACGACGGUGCUCCGGCAGCGGUGCGCGGACGGGCAGCAGGGCGACGGCGGCACUUCGGCAGCGGCUCUGAGCGCACAGGCAGUAGGCCAGCGACGGCGCAGCUUGGCGACGCGUGGGCGGGCAGCAGCCGCAGCGCUCCGGCGGCGUCGCGCGGCCGGGUAGCAGGGCGACGGCGGUGCUCCAACGGCGGUUCGGUGCGCGCGGCCAGCAGGCUGACGGCGGCGCGGCUCUGAGCUAAUCCCCUAGACCCUUUUUCCUUUUUUUUUUCAAUUUCAAAUCUGCACAAAAAGAACAAUAGGGUGAUUUUGCAUGUAUGUUGUGGGGGAUUUCUUUUUUAUAUGAACUAUAUAGAUGUGAAAAAUUAUCAUGUGUUUAUACAAAUUGAAGUGAGAACAAAAUGGUAGACUAUACAAAUUUCAAAUCUAAACCAAGAAAACACUAGGAUGCUUUCACUAAUUAUGUCAAUUAUUUUGGUGAUUAAGUUUUAACCUUAUAAUUAUGUUGCUGAAAUUCUAAAUAAAAAUAAACAUUUAUCAGUCAUACAUCACGGAAAUAGAAAAAAACCACAAGGGUACUAUUGUCAACCUCCCCCUAUGCUCUGUUUCUGAAGUUCUGAAGCAGAGUAAGCUUGUCAAACACUUUUCACAUGACAUCCAACUCCCACAGGAGCGAGUGAGAGUUAGGAGCUAGGAGUUGGAAUUUGGAGCCCUCCCAAACAGGCCUUCCUGCAUAACUAGCUUUGUCCUGUUUUUGUACGUUGCUAGCACAUUGUGAUUUAAACUAUACAAGACAAAGGUGAGAAAAAUAAGUGAAAAUUCCUUUAUAAUAAUUAAUAGGACGUUCCCGUCAUUAACUUAACCCUACAAACAUUGCUUCAUUGCUUGAAACAUCUAACUAAAUAAUUUUAAAUUCUAUCAAAAUUUUAUAUAAUAAAUCAUACGAACAUCUUAUAUAAACAGUACCGUGGACGUGUUCUCAGCCAUACUUAAAAUGUGUUCUUGCUGGCUUUCCCAAACUCACCCUCCUUGUUUUUUGCAAAAAUAUUCUAUACACAAGUUGUUUUAGAAAAUCAUAUUAAUCAAUUUUUUUUAAAAAAAUAAUGCUUAAUUAAUCAUAUCACUACUAGAAAAACGAUUUUUUAUGGCGUUGGCCUAAUAUUUUCUCUGGCGAUAAAAUGUGAAAACCGCCAACAAGGUUGUAACGAGGGGUGGGAGGCAACGACCGCCAGCAAAAAAAGAUUUUCGUUGGCGGCCGAGUAAUACAGGCCGCCAGCGAAGAUUUUUUUAUUUUCGCUGGCGGUACCUUCUAAGUGCCGCCAGCGAAAAUAGGUUCAUCUUCGCUAGCGGUAUGAUGAUAUGGACCGCCAUUGAAGAUGAACCUAUUUUCUCUGGUGGCUCUCUUUAGCCACCGCCACCUCUAUCAUUUUAUAUGGCGGUGCAUUAAGUAGUCCACCAGUGAAAAUUGGUUCUCCUAUAUAAGGCCGUGCCCAAGCUACCAUGCCAUUUGAGCACGAUUUUCUCUCUCUUAUGAACUCAAACAUAGGGGGAGAAGUUUUUGAACUCGAAUGGUUUGAUAGAUAUUUUGUACCAAAAGGUUAGUUAUACUUUAUAGUUCUCCAUUUCUCAAUUUUUUUUUUCAUUUUUAUCCGUUCUAUGUUGAGAUUUUGCAAGGUCAAGUUUCCAAGGCAUGUUCGUUUUGAUUUGUUUUGUGGUGUUGAAAACGGUCAAAAUUGUUAUGAUAUAUUGUACAUGAUCAAUGUAUAUAGAUUUCACAAUGUUUUGAUAUGUUUAUUUAUAGAAGAUCUAUAUGGCACGGUUGUUUUGUGCACUUUAAAUCUAUAUAUCUGGUUAUGAAAGAGAAUUGAGAGAAAGAAAGAGGGUAGUUUGGUAAUUUUAUCUAGUUUUUUCUAGUUGUAUGUCUAGUUGUCAUGUAUUGGGAAUAUAUGAGUGGUAGUUUUUUUUUAAAAAAUGAAGUCAUAAUAUAGUUUUAAUUUUUCCGUGUUUAUACUAAUUGUAAUAUUUUUCACAAUGUUUAAUUUAUUUGUUUACAUAUUAGCAUAAUUA
This is a non-coding RNA of Oryza sativa Japonica Group (Japanese rice), 3354 nucleotides long. The record is from RefSeq and is a predicted model, not a curated record. NCBI's taxonomy places the organism in Eukaryota, Viridiplantae, Streptophyta, Magnoliopsida, Poales, Poaceae.